RNAcentral lists this non-coding RNA (28 nucleotides) under Bombyx mori (domestic silkworm). Lineage: Eukaryota; Metazoa; Arthropoda; Insecta; Lepidoptera; Bombycidae. The record is from RNAcentral.
AAGUAUCCUUUAAAUCUGAUGUUGUAUC